GCUUGAUCCCAGGACCCUGAGAUCAUGACCUGAGCCGAAGGCAGAGGCUUUAACCCACUGAGCCACCCAGGCGCCCCCCCAGAGUGUUUUUUAAAAACCAUGAUUCGCAUUUGUCUCAAGUACACAUACAUCCAUUGCAAGAGUUAAAUUAGACCACUGAUGUUAACACCUUGAAACUACGUAUGAUCUUUGUCACCU
Lutra lutra (Eurasian river otter) is the source of this 198-nucleotide long non-coding RNA. RefSeq lists it as uncharacterized. The record is from RefSeq and is a predicted model, not a curated record. The transcript is spliced from 2 exons. Lineage: Eukaryota; Metazoa; Chordata; Mammalia; Carnivora; Mustelidae.